GACGAACGCUGGCGGCGUGCCUAAUACAUGCAAGUUGAGCGCUGAAGGUUGGUACUUGUACCAACUGGAUGAGCAGCGAACGGGUGAGUAACGCGUGGGGAAUCUGCCUUUGAGCGGGGGACAACAUUUGGAAACGAAUGCUAAUACCGCAUAAAAACUUUAAACACAAGUUUUAAGUUUGAAAGAUGCAAUUGCAUCACUCAAAGAUGAUCCCGCGUUGUAUUAGCUAGUUGGUGAGGUAAAGGCUCACCAAGGCGAUGAUACAUAGCCGACCUGAGAGGGUGAUCGGCCACAUUGGGACUGGGAAACGGCCCAAACUCCUACGGGAGGCAGCAGUAGGGAAUCUUCGGCAAUGGACGAAAGUCUGACCGAGCAACGCCGCGUGAGUGAAGAAGGUUUUCGGAUCGUAAAACUCUGUUGGUAGAGAAGAACGUUGGUGAGAGUGGAAAGCUCAUCAAGUGACGGUAACUACCCAGAAAGGGACGGCUAACUACGUG
RNAcentral lists this ribosomal RNA (497 nucleotides) under uncultured bacterium. RNAcentral describes it as "partial 16S ribosomal RNA". It matches the Rfam family "Bacterial small subunit ribosomal RNA", at positions 28 to 507 of the family's 1533-position model. The record is from RNAcentral.